AAGUCGUAACAAGGUUUCCGUAGGUGAACCUGCGGAAGGAUCAUUAUCCUUUAGCGUGGUAUUCUAACGAGUACUACAAGCGCAUGCACCUUAUGUGUUGCGUACAAAAGCACAGCGAUGAUGCCUAGUCAUUGUCGCUUACCAAAACCCAUGGCUCGCUUGAGGCAUGGUCGGGUACCUAGACGUGUACGUCCAACGACGUGCUCGUCCAAGCGGUAGAUGCGUGUCUAUCGUGUGGUGUAAAGAUUGUUCUUGCCCUAUAGAACAACGCCCGCCUAGCAAACUUUUAAUUACAAAUUAUUAAUCGCACUAUUAUGUUGUAUGUGUAAAGCACUAUCUUACUAUUAAGAUAAUAACACAAAUACAACCCUAUGCGGUGGAUCAUUUGGCUC
RNAcentral lists this unclassified non-coding RNA (392 nucleotides) under fungal sp. RNAcentral's name for it is "partial internal transcribed spacer region". The stretch from base 1 to 46 matches the Rfam family "Eukaryotic small subunit ribosomal RNA", at positions 1786 to 1831 of the family's 1831-position model. The record is from RNAcentral. Lineage: Eukaryota; Fungi.